Long non-coding RNA from Oncorhynchus tshawytscha (Chinook salmon), 1905 nucleotides. NCBI's taxonomy places the organism in Eukaryota, Metazoa, Chordata, Actinopteri, Salmoniformes, Salmonidae. The record is from Ensembl.
CGCGCACUGGGAGAGAACAUCGUCCGCAGAGGACGCGAGUGAGCUGGAAUGCUUUGACGUCAGUAGCAGGCCAGCGCUCAGAGCCGAUCAGACAGUGAAUGAAUGUGCGAAUACUGCAGAGAGGCGCACUCGCAGCAUCGACCAUCCAUCCCUGUUGCCUCGUCCUUUCGGAGACAUCGGGGCAUACACACGCCACUGGCACAGUGAACACAACAGGACGUCGGGAAAAUAUUGGAAACCAAUAGCUUUACGAUUCUAACUCAUCAAGUAGUAUUGGAAUAGCAAGAAGUGCCAAGCUGUUUACAGAGGCAGGUCGCUCCACAAGCCUCAAGGAUAACGCAUUUUCCUCUCAAUGGGAAACCGUGGAGCAUGGGUCAACUCUGAGUCAUCACAGGACCACCAACCAGAGAGGGAGAGAGAAGAAGAGGGUGGACAGGAAUACAGAUGGGGUGAUUGAAUAGCAGAGGAAAGUUAAAGUGAUCCUACAGAGUUGAUAAUUGAGGGAACAAGCAUGUGAUUGUGGGUAUACAGUCAGAGUGCAUGUGUGUGUGAGGGCUUGUUGGCAUGUGUACAAGUUACUGCUUAUGACCAUCUUGUCCUCAGUUAAUUUUUUUAAACAUUUGUGGGAGGAGACAGAUUGCCCUCUGCCUGCGCUGUGACCCCUGGGUCAUGGGGUGGGCCUAGGGGAGAGAGAGGGGACAGGAAAGAAGGGAGAGCAGCCAGGUCACACAGGCCCUGCAGCAGUCAGUCUCAGCACACAGCCUCUGUUAGUGCUUCGAUCUGCUGCAUAAGGGAACAGAGCGUGUGCUGCUCAACACAUCAACUAACUAUGUGUCUUGGUAGGCCUUGAGAGCCAUGCUGUACUCAACUCCGCUCUCUCAUUACCACUGAUAGGUGAAAGAACUGGAUAGGUGUCCACCAUAUUGAUUUGACUGUCCGUGACCAAACUUUGGGCCCUAGUCAUGAGGGAAGGAAGACAAGGAUAGACCGAUAUAAGGGUAUUUAAGACACAACCCACUCAACACUGUACUUCCCCUCCCAAUUGUAUUUCUAUUAAUAUUACAAUGCUGUUCCAUACAAAGGGAGAGACAGAGGUAAUGGAGGAGUUAAAUAUGUGAUGAGUUUAAAUGCUGGGAAUGAGUGUAGAAUUGAAUCUACUUUGUUGUAAUGAGUGAAUUGAGAAUUCAGAAGAGAGAGUGCUCUCUCAAGUCUCUGCUCCCCUAUUCCCACGUGGACCUCACCAUGUUGAAUAUUGCACGAUGGGAACAAGUGAGAUGAGAUCAUACCUAAGGAAACCCCACUCUGUUCCUCCAUCACCCCUCCCUCCAUUUUCCCCUUCACUAUCCUGACUCCAUUUCCUCCUCCCUCCCUUUUCCCCUCUCCAUCCCUAUCCUCUCACUCUCUACUCUUCCCUCUGAUACGAAACCGAAUGAGUCAUCCCCUUGCCCCUCUCUCAUUAUGCUUCUCUCACACCAUAAUCCUACCCAGCUGUACCCUGUGUGUGUGUGUGUGUUUGUGUGUGUGUGUGUGUGUGUGUGGCAGUGCAUGGGUCCAUAUUCACCCUUGUCCUUGUGUUAAAGAUGCACUCUCAAACUUUUGUAUAAUUUCAGCCAGUAGUUUUGAAAGUGGUGCUCUUGAGCCAAAAUGGGUCCCCUUUUUUUGUGUACUGUGUCUUCAAAUUGUGUACUACGCCAUGUGUACUAACUCAAUUUGUGCAAUAUGUUACACAUUUCUUGCGCUUAAGAUCCCUGCGUGCAUCUUUAAGUGUGGCCCUUCUAUUGUUGUUUGUCUGAAUGUUCACUUCACUUAGAAUGUGUUCUCUGCCUUUUCUGCUCAGCUAGCACCAGCAAAAAUAUAUAUUUUCAAUAAUUGGCUCAAGAUGUGAGAUCCUUUAUGUUUGCAAAG